UGAACGCUGGCGGCAUGCCUUACACAUGCAAGUCGAACGGUAACGGGCCUUCGGGUGCCGACGAGUGGCGAACGGGUGAGUAAUACAUCGGAACGUGCCCGAUCGUGGGGGAUAACGAGGCGAAAGCUUUGCUAAUACCGCAUACGAUCUACGGAUGAAAGCAGGGGACCGCAAGGCCUUGCGCGGACGGAGCGGCCGAUGGCAGAUUAGGUAGUUGGUGGGAUAAAAGCUUACCAAGCCGACGAUCUGUAGCUGGUCUGAGAGGAUGAUCAGCCACACUGGGACUGAGACACGGCCCAGACUCCUACGGGAGGCAGCGGUGGGGAAUUUUGGACAAUGGGCGCAAGCCUGAUCCAGCCAUGCCGCGUGCAGGAUGAAGGCCUUCGGGUUGUAAACUGCUUUUGUACGGAACGAAAAGCCUUCUUUUAAUACAGGAGGGUCAUGACGGUACCGUAAGAAUAAGCACCGGCUAACUACGUG
This 480-nucleotide ribosomal RNA is filed under the name uncultured bacterium. Its description in RNAcentral is "partial 16S ribosomal RNA". It matches the Rfam family "Bacterial small subunit ribosomal RNA", at positions 30 to 507 of the family's 1533-position model. The record is from RNAcentral.